RNAcentral lists this ribosomal RNA (253 nucleotides) under uncultured bacterium. RNAcentral's name for it is "partial 16S ribosomal RNA". It matches the Rfam family "Bacterial small subunit ribosomal RNA", at positions 524 to 776 of the family's 1533-position model. The record is from RNAcentral.
UACGUAGGGGGCAAGCGUUGUCCGGAAUCAUUGGGCGUAAAGAGCGCGUAGGCGGCCCAGUAAGUCCGCUCUGAAAGUCAGGGGCUCAACCCCUGGAUGCGGGUGGAUACUGCUGGGCUAGAGUCCGGAAGAGGUGAGUGGAAUUCCUGGUGUAGCGGUGAAAUGCGCAGAUAUCAGGAGGAACACCGAUGGCGAAGGCGCUCUGCUAGGCCGCAACUGACACUGAGGGACGAAAGCUAGGGGAGCGAAUGGG